UCGAGGAUCUUCGGCAAUGGGCGCAAGCCUGACCGAGCGACGCCGCGUGCGCGAUGAAGGCCUUCGGGUUGUAAAGCGCUGUCGAGGGGGAGAAAAGCCGCAAGGCCUGAUCGACCCCUGGAGGAAGCACGGGCUAAGUUCGUGCCAGCAGCCGCGGUAAGACGAACCGUGCGAACGUUGUUCGGAUUCACUGGGCUUAAAGGGCGCGUAGGCGGACGCUCGCGUCCGGGGUGAAAUCCUCCGGCCCAACCGGAGAAUCGCCUCGGAUACGGGGUGUCUCGAGGGAGGUAGGGGCGCGCGGAACUUCCGGUGGAGCGGUGAAAUGCGUAGAUAUCGGAAGGAACGCCGGUGGCGAAAGCGGCGCGCUGGACCUCUACUGACGCUGAGGCGCGAAAGCCAGGGGAGCGAACGGGAUUAGAUACCCCCGUAGUCC
RNAcentral lists this ribosomal RNA (433 nucleotides) under uncultured bacterium. Its description in RNAcentral is "bacterial SSU rRNA". It matches the Rfam family "Bacterial small subunit ribosomal RNA", at positions 355 to 796 of the family's 1533-position model. The record is from RNAcentral.